CUCCUACGGGAGGCAGCAGUGGGGAAUAGUUGCGCAAUGGGCGAAAGCCUGACGCAGCGACGCCGCGUGUGGGAUGACGGCCUUCGGGUUGUAAACCACUAGUCGCGAGGGACGAAAAAAAUGAACGGUACCUCGAAAGGAAGCACCGGCUAACUCUGUGCCAGCAGCCGCGGUAAUAC
This 179-nucleotide ribosomal RNA is filed under the name uncultured bacterium. Its description in RNAcentral is "partial 16S ribosomal RNA". It matches the Rfam family "Bacterial small subunit ribosomal RNA", at positions 336 to 526 of the family's 1533-position model. The record is from RNAcentral.